AGAGUUUGAUCCUGGCUCAGGAUGAACGCUGGCGGCGUGCUUAACACAUGCAAGUCGAACGAACCUUCGGGUUAGUGGCGGACGGGUGAGUAACGCGUGAGAAUCUGCCCUCAGGAGGGGGAUAACGGUUGGAAACGACCGCUAAUACCCCAUAUGCCGCGAGGUGAAAUGAAUUUCGCCUGAGGAUGAGCUCGCGUCUGAUUAGUUAGUUGGUGGGGUAAAGGCCUACCAAGACAUCGAUCAGUAGCUGGUCUGAGAGGAUGAUCAGCCACACUGGGACUGAGACACGGCCCAGACUCCUACGGGAGGCAGCAGUGGGGAAUUUUCCGCAAUGGGCGAAAGCCUGACGGAGCAACGCCGCGUGAGGGAUGAAGGCCUCUGGGCUGUAAACCUCUUUUAUCAAGGAAGAAGAUCUGACGGCACUUGAUGAAUAAGCCACGGCUAAUUCCGUGCCAGCAGCCGCGGUAAUACGGGAGUGGCAAGCGUUAUCCGGAAUUAUUGGGCGUAAAGCGUCCGCAGGCGGUCUGUCAAGUCUGCUGUUAAAGCGUGGAGCUUAACUCCAUUUCGGCAGUGGAAACUGACAGACUAGAGUGUGGUAGGGGCAGAGGGAAUUCCCGGUGUAGCGGUGAAAUGCGUAGAUAUCGGGAAGAACACCAGUGGCGAAGGCGCUCUGCUGGGCCAUAACUGACGCUCAUGGACGAAAGCCAGGGGAGCGAAAGGGAUUAGAUACCCCUGUAGUCCUGGCCGUAAACGAUGAACACUAGGUGUCGGGGGAAUCGACCCCCUCGGUGUCGUAGCCAACGCGUUAAGUGUUCCGCCUGGGGAGUACGCACGCAAGUGUGAAACUCAAAGGAAUUGACGGGGGCCCGCACAAGCGGUGGAGUAUGUGGUUUAAUUCGAUGCAACGCGAAGAACCUUACCAGGGUUUGACAUCCUGCGAAUCUCUUGGAAACGAGAGAGUGCCUUCGGGAACGCAGUGACAGGUGGUGCAUGGCUGUCGUCAGCUCGUGUCGUGAGAUGUUGGGUUAAGUCCCGCAACGAGCGCAACCCACGUCGUUAGUUGCCAGCAUUUAGUUGGGCACUCUAGCGAGACCGCCGGUGAUAAACCGGAGGAAGGUGUGGAUGACGUCAAGUCAUCAUGCCCCUUACAUCCUGGGCUACACACGUACUACAAUGCUACGGACAAAGGGCAGCAAACUCGCGAGAGCUAGCAAAUCCCAUAAACCGUGGCUCAGUUCAGAUCGUAGGCUGCAACUCGCCUACGUGAAGGAGGAAUCGCUAGUAAUCGCAGGUCAGCAUACUGCGGUGAAUACGUUCCCGGGCCUUGUACACACCGCCCGUCACACCAUGGAAGUUGGCCACGCCCGAAGCCGUUACUCCAACCCUUGUGGAGGAGGACGUCGAAGGUGGGGCUGAUGACUGGGGUGAAGUCGUAACAAGGUA
This 1443-nucleotide ribosomal RNA is filed under the name metagenome. Its description in RNAcentral is "bacterial SSU rRNA". It matches the Rfam family "Bacterial small subunit ribosomal RNA". The record is from RNAcentral.